GACGAGGGAUCCUAGCGUUGUUCGGAAUCAUUGGGCGUAAAGCGGGUGCAGGUGGCUUUGUAAGUCAGGUGUGAAAUCCCAGGGCUCAACCCUGGAAGUGCAUUUGAUACUGCAAAGCUUGAGUGCUGGAGAGGCUAUUAGAAUACAUGGUGUAGUGGUGAAAUACGUAGAUAUCAUGUGGAAUACCGGAGGCGAAGGCGGAUAGCUGGCCAGACACUGACACUCAUACCCGAAAGCGUGGGGAUCAAACAGG
This 253-nucleotide ribosomal RNA is filed under the name uncultured bacterium. Its description in RNAcentral is "partial 16S ribosomal RNA". It matches the Rfam family "Bacterial small subunit ribosomal RNA", at positions 524 to 776 of the family's 1533-position model. The record is from RNAcentral.